RNAcentral lists this ribosomal RNA (247 nucleotides) under uncultured bacterium. RNAcentral describes it as "partial 16S ribosomal RNA". It matches the Rfam family "Bacterial small subunit ribosomal RNA", at positions 523 to 769 of the family's 1533-position model. The record is from RNAcentral.
AAACGUAGGAGGCGAGCGUUAUCCGGAUUUACUGGGUGUAAAGCGCGUGCAGGCGGUUCUGCAAGUGGGACGUGAAAGCGCCCGGCUCAACCGGGCGAGGACGUACCGAACUGCGGGACUAGAGGCAGGGAGAGGCGUGUGGAAUCCCGGGUGUAGUGGUGAAAUGCGUAGAGAUCCGGAGGAACACCAGUGGCGAAGGCGACACGCUGGGCCUGGCCUGACGCUCAGACGCGAAAGCAUGGGGAGC